CAAUAGCGUAUAUUAAAGUUGUUGCGGUUAAAAAGCUCGUAGUUGGAUUUCUGUUGGGAACGACCGGUCCGCCCAUUGGGUGUGUAUCUGGCUUGUUCUCGGCAUCUUCUUGGUGAACGUUGCUGCACUUGACUGUGUGGAGCGCUACCCAGGACUUUUACUUUGAGGAAAUUAGAGUGUUUCAAGCAGGCACACGCCUUGAAUACAUUAGCAUGGAAUAAUAAGAUAGGACCUCGGUUCUAUUUUGUUGGUUUCUAGAGCUGAGGUAAUGAUUAAUAGGGAUAGUUGGGGGCAUUCGUAUUUAACUGUCAGAGGUGAAAUUCUUGGAUUUAUGAAAGACGAACUACUGCGAAAGCAUCUGCCAAGGAUGUUUUCAUUAA
Molecule: ribosomal RNA, 380 nt
Filed under: uncultured eukaryote
Lineage: Eukaryota
Description: partial 18S ribosomal RNA
Rfam family: Eukaryotic small subunit ribosomal RNA
Source: RNAcentral